Molecule: ribosomal RNA, 293 nt
Filed under: uncultured bacterium
Lineage: Bacteria
Description: partial 16S ribosomal RNA
Rfam family: Bacterial small subunit ribosomal RNA
Source: RNAcentral
GUGUCAGCAGCCGCGGUAAUACGUAGGGUGCGAGCGUUAAUCGGAAUUACUGGGCGUAAAGCGUGCGUAGGCGGUUCGCUAAGUCCUGUGUGAAAGCCCCGGGCUCAACUCGGGAACGGCAUGGGAAACUGACGGACUGGAGUGUGGCAGAGGGGGGUGGAAUUCCGCGUGUAGCAGUGAAAUGCGUAGAGAUGCGGAGGAACACCGAUGGCGAAGGCAGCCCCCUGGGCCAACACUGACGCUGAGGGCACGAAAGCGUGGGGAGCAAACAGGAUUAGAUACCCCCGUAGUCC